GAGAAUCUGCCUUUUGGUCGGGGACAACCACUGGAAACGGUGGCUAAUACCGGAUAAGCCUGCGGGUAAAAGAUUAAUUGCCAAGAGAGGAGCUCGCGUCUGAUUAGCUAGUUGGUGAGGUAAAGGCUCACCAAGGCGGCGAUCAGUAGCUGGUCUGAGAGGAUGACCAGCCACACUGGGACUGAGACACGGCCCAGACUCCUACGGGAGGCAGCAGUGGGGAAUUUUCCGCAGUGGGCGAAAGCCUGACGGAGCAAGACCGCGUGAGGGAGGAAGGCUCUUGGGUUGUAAACCUCUUUUGUCAGGGAAGAACACAAUGACGGUACCUGAAGAAUCAGCAUCGGCUAACUCCGUGCCAGCAGCCGCGGUAAUACGGAGGAUGCAAGCGUUAUCCGGAAUUAUUGGGCGUAAAGCGUCCGCAGGUGGCACUUCAAGUCUGCUGUCAAAGACCGGGGCUUAACCCUGGAAAGGCAGUGGAAACUGAAGCGCUAGAGUGUGGCAGGGGUAGAGGGAAUUCCCGGUGUAGCGGUGAAAUGCGUAGAGAUCGGGAAGAACAUCGGUGGCGAAAGCGCUCUACUGGGCCACAACUGACACUCAGGGACGAAAGCUAGGGGAGCGAAUGGGAUUAGAUACCCCAGUAGUCCUAGCCGUA
Molecule: ribosomal RNA, 652 nt
Filed under: uncultured cyanobacterium
Lineage: Bacteria; Bacillati; Cyanobacteriota
Description: bacterial SSU rRNA
Rfam family: Bacterial small subunit ribosomal RNA
Source: RNAcentral